AAGUCGUAACAAGGUUUCCGUAGGUGAACUGCGGAAGGAUCAUUAACACGUAUCCAAACGUUAAACUCCCCUGUGAACCUUCAGUGUACUCGUACGUCCGUAGAAAAAGCAGCAAUCCCUGGUAAAUCAUCGCCGACGUCUGCAAGGAGCGUGCAUGUUGUGCGAAGCAAGUGGCCUGGCAUCCCCAAGCAGUUAGUGUCUGAAAGUGUCAUUAACUGUGUAAGGAUGACAGGCCCACACGGCCGACGACCGGGUCACUGGGCGCAAGCCCCCCUCUAACAAACGCUGCUGUUAACAAUGGAUAUCUUGGUUCUC
RNAcentral lists this unclassified non-coding RNA (315 nucleotides) under fungal sp. Its description in RNAcentral is "partial internal transcribed spacer region". The stretch from base 1 to 45 matches the Rfam family "Eukaryotic small subunit ribosomal RNA", at positions 1786 to 1831 of the family's 1831-position model. The record is from RNAcentral. Lineage: Eukaryota; Fungi.